RNAcentral lists this ribosomal RNA (478 nucleotides) under Loxosceles boneti. Its description in RNAcentral is "partial 16S ribosomal RNA". It matches the Rfam family "Bacterial large subunit ribosomal RNA", at positions 1933 to 2705 of the family's 2925-position model. Lineage: Eukaryota; Metazoa; Arthropoda; Arachnida; Araneae; Sicariidae. The record is from RNAcentral.
GCCGCAGAUAUUCCUGUGCUAAGGUAGCAUAAUAACUAGCUUUUUAAUUAAAAGAUAGCAUGAAAGGAUAAACGAUUUGAAAAUUUUUCCCUAAUAAAACAAUAAAAUUAACCUAAAAGUAAAAAGACUUUUAUUUACAAGAAAGACAACAAGACCCUAUAGAACUUUAACUUUAGCUUUAGCUGGGGCAGCAAAAAACACUAUCUUUUUCAUUCAUUCAAUAUAAUGACCUAAAACUUUUAAUUAAUAAAACAAGUUACCUUAGGGAUAACAGCGCUAUCUUACUUUACAGUUCUUAUAUAAAGUAAAUAUUACGACCUCGAUGUUGAAUUAAUUUAUCUUAAUUAAGUAAAAAUAAUAAAAGUGAGUCUGUUCGACUCUUAAAAAAUUACAUGAUUUGAGUUCAGACCGGCGUAAGCCAGGUCAGAUUAUAUCUUCUAUUAUAUAUUAACAGUACGAAAGGACCCUAAUAAUAAUA